GGGGAAUAUUGCGCAAUGGGCGAAAGCCUGGCGCAGCGACGCCGCGUGGGUGAUGAAGGCCUUCGGGUCGUAAAGCCCUGUCAAGAGGGACGAAAUCUCACCGACCUAACACGUCGGUGACCUGACGGUACCUCUGAAGGAAGCACCGGCUAAUUUCGUGCCAGCAGCCGCGGUAAUACGGAGGGUGCAAGCGUUAUCCGGAUUUACUGGGUUUAAAGGGAGCGCAGGCGGAUUGGUAAGUCAGUGGUGAAAGCCUCAAGCUUAACUUGGGAAUUGCCGUUGAUACUAUCAGUCUUGAAUGUUGUUGAGGUUUGCGGAAUGGGUCAUGUAGCGGUGAAAUGCAUAGAUAUGACCCGGAACACCUAUUGCGAAGGCAGCAGGCUAAACAAAUAUUGACGCUGAGGCUCGAAAGCGUGGGGAUCAA
RNAcentral lists this ribosomal RNA (424 nucleotides) under uncultured bacterium. RNAcentral's name for it is "bacterial SSU rRNA". It matches the Rfam family "Bacterial small subunit ribosomal RNA", at positions 356 to 771 of the family's 1533-position model. The record is from RNAcentral.